Molecule: ribosomal RNA, 478 nt
Filed under: uncultured bacterium
Lineage: Bacteria
Description: bacterial SSU rRNA
Rfam family: Bacterial small subunit ribosomal RNA
Source: RNAcentral
CGGCAUGCCUUACACAUGCAAGUCGAACGGCAGCAUGGAAGAGCUUGCUCUUCUGAUGGCGAGUGGCGAACGGGUGAGUAAAGCAUCGGAACGUACCGUGUAGUGGGGGAUAACGUAGCGAAAGUUACGCUAAUACCGCAUACGCACUGAGGUGGAAAGCAGGGGAUCGCAAGACCUUGCGCUAUACGAGCGGCCGAUAUCAGAUUAGCUAGUUGGUGGGGUAAAGGCCUACCAAGGCGACGAUCUAUAGCUGGUCUGAGAGGACGAUCAGCCACACUGGGACUGAGACACGGCCCAGACUCCUACGGGAGGCAGCAGUGGGGAAUUUUGGACAAUGGGCGAAAGCCUGAUCCAGCCAUGCCGCGUGAGUGAAGAAGGCCUUCGGGUUGUAAAGCUCUUUCGGCUGGGAAGAAAUCGCACAGGCUAAUACUCUGUGUGGAUGACGGUACCAGCACAAGAAGCACCGGCUAACUACGUG